GAUGAACGCUGGCGGCGUGCCUAAUACAUGCAAGUCGAGCGAACAGACGAGGAGCUUGCUCCUCUGACGUUAGCGGCGGACGGGUGAGUAACACGUGGAUAACCUACCUAUAAGACUGGGAUAACUUCGGGAAACCGGAGCUAAUACCGGAUAAUAUAUUGAACCGCAUGGUUCAAUAGUGAAAGACGGUUUUGCUGUCACUUAUAGAUGGAUCCGCGCCGCAUUAGCUAGUUGGUAAGGUAACGGCUUACCACGGCGACGGUGCGUAGCCGACCUGAGAGGGUGAUCGGCCACACUGGAACUGAGACACGGUCCAGACUCCUACGGGAGGCAGCAGUAGGGAAUCUUCCGCAAUGGGCGAAAGCCUGACGGAGCAACGCCGCGUGAGUGAUGAAGGUCUUCGGAUCGUAAAACUCUGUUAUUAGGGAAGAACAAAUGUGUAAGUAACUAUGCACGUCUUGACGGUACCUAAUCAGAAAGCCACGGCUAACUACGUG
Molecule: ribosomal RNA, 497 nt
Filed under: uncultured bacterium
Lineage: Bacteria
Description: partial 16S ribosomal RNA
Rfam family: Bacterial small subunit ribosomal RNA
Source: RNAcentral